UCUAUGAGAAGCGAAGCCCACAACGCGACCCCAGGUCAGGC
Molecule: ribosomal RNA, 41 nt
Filed under: Nanocnide japonica
Lineage: Eukaryota; Viridiplantae; Streptophyta; Magnoliopsida; Rosales; Urticaceae
Description: partial 28S rRNA
Source: RNAcentral